GCCCGGGUGGCGGAAUUGGUAGACGCACAGGACUUAAAAUCCUGUGGGAGCCUGCUCCCGUGCCGGUUCGAUUCCGGCCCCGGGCACCA
RNAcentral lists this transfer RNA (89 nucleotides) under Flexistipes sinusarabici DSM 4947. RNAcentral describes it as "tRNA-Leu (TAA) (tRNA-Leu-TAA-1-1)". It matches the Rfam family "tRNA". Rfam says of the family: Transfer RNA (tRNA) molecules are approximately 80 nucleotides in length. Their secondary structure includes four short double-helical elements and three loops (D, anti-codon, and T loops). RNAcentral also lists the same sequence under 1 other name. The record is from RNAcentral. Lineage: Bacteria; Pseudomonadati; Deferribacterota; Deferribacteres; Deferribacterales; Flexistipitaceae.